Molecule: ribosomal RNA, 759 nt
Filed under: Rhizophagus cf. intraradices HG-2010
Lineage: Eukaryota; Fungi; Glomeromycota; Glomeromycetes; Glomerales; Glomeraceae
Description: eukaryotic LSU rRNA
Rfam family: Eukaryotic large subunit ribosomal RNA
Source: RNAcentral
GCAUAUCAAUAAGCGGAGGAAAAGAAAAUAACAAUGAUUCCUCUAGUAACUGCGAGUGAAGAGGGAAAAGCUCAAAUUUUAAAUCUGUUAGGUUUACCUAACCGAGUUGUAAUUUGAAGAAGCGUUUUCUGCGAUUUUGGUUAGUCCAAAUCCUUUGGAAUAAGGUAUCAUGGAGGGUGAGAAUCCCGUUCGGUUAACCAAAGCGCUUUACGAUACGCUUUCAAAGAGUCAAGUUGUUUGGGAUUGCAGCUUAAAAUGGGAGGUAAAUUUCUCCUAAGGCUAAAUACUGGCGAGAGACCGAUAGCGAACAAGUACCGUGAGGGAAAGAUGAAAAGAACUUUGAAAAGAGAGUUAAACAGUACGUGAAAUUGUUGAAAGGGAAACGAUUAAAGUCAGUCGUACCUACGAGUAAUCAACCUACUCGAGUGCGAUUUUGUGGGUAUGUUAGAGCUUAAAAACCUUCAUGCUUACAAAUUGGUGCUCUUUGGGCGUACUUUCUCGUAUGGUAGGUUAACAUCAAUUUCGAUCGUUAUAAAAUGACUGAAGGAAUGUAGCUUCGAUCUCGGUUGAAGUGUUAUAGCCUUUGGUAGAUGUAAUGAUUGGGAUUGAGGAUUGCAACGGAUACCCUCUGGGCUAUUCGUCUGAUCUCUGGAAGUUACCUUGGUGUCGAAAGCGUGCUUACGAUAUUAAGGUUGACGGCCAAUAGGUUAGAACGUGAUUAAAUUCGUUAAGGAUGUCGACGUAAGGGCUUUAAACGAC